GACGAACGCUGGCGGCGUGCCUAAUACAUGCAAGUCGAACGAACUCUGGUAUUGAUUGGUGCUUGCAUCAUGAUUUACAUUUGAGUGAGUGGCGAACUGGUGAGUAACACGUGGGAAACCUGCCCAGAAGCGGGGGAUAACACCUGGAAACAGAUGCUAAUACCGCAUAACAACUUGGACCGCAUGGUCCGAGCUUGAAAGAUGGCUUCGGCUAUCACUUUUGGAUGGUCCCGCGGCGUAUUAGCUAGAUGGUGGGGUAACGGCUCACCAUGGCAAUGAUACGUAGCCGACCUGAGAGGGUAAUCGGCCACAUUGGGACUGAGACACGGCCCAAACUCCUACGGGAGGCAGCAGUAGGGAAUCUUCCACAAUGGACGAAAGUCUGAUGGAGCAACGCCGCGUGAGUGAAGAAGGGUUUCGGCUCGUAAAACUCUGUUGUUAAAGAAGAACAUAUCUGAGAGUAACUGUUCAGGUAUUGACGGUAUUUAACCAGAAAGCCACGGCUAACUACGUGCCAGCAGCCGCGGUAAUACGUAGGUGGCAAGCGUUGUCCGGAUUUAUUGGGCGUAAAGCGAGCGCAGGCGGUUUUUUAAGUCUGAUGUGAAAGCCUUCGGCUCAACCGAAGAAGUGCAUCGGAAACUGGGAAACUUGAGUGCAGAAGAGGACAGUGGAACUCCAUGUGUAGCGGUGAAAUGCGUAGAUAUAUGGAAGAACACCAGUGGCGAAGGCGGCUGUCUGGUCUGUAACUGACGCUGAGGCUCGAAAGUAUGGGUAGCAAACAGGAUUAGAUACCCUGGUAGUCCAUACCGUAAACGAUGAAUGCUAAGUGUUGGAGGGUUUCCGCCCCUCAGUGCUGCAGCUAACGCAUUAAGCAUUCCGCCUGGGGAGUACGGCCGCAAGGCUGAAACUCAAAGGAAUUGACGGGGGCCCGCACAAGCGGUGGAGCAUGUGGUUUAAUUCGAAGCUACGCGAAGAACCUUACCAGGUCUUGACAUACUAUGCAAAUCUAAGAGAUUAGACGUUCCCUUCGGGGACAUGGAUACAGGUGGUGCAUGGUUGUCGUCAGCUCGUGUCGUGAGAUGUUGGGUUAAGUCCCGCAACGAGCGCAACCCUUAUUAUCAGUUGCCAGCAUUAAGUUGGGCACUCUGGUGAGACUGCCGGUGACAAACCGGAGGAAGGUGGGGAUGACGUCAAAUCAUCAUGCCCCUUAUGACCUGGGCUACACACGUGCUACAAUGGAUGGUACAACGAGUUGCGAACUCGCGAGAGUAAGCUAAUCUCUUAAAGCCGUUCUCAGUUCGGAUUGUAGGCUGCAACUCGCCUACAUGAAGUCGGAAUCGCUAGUAAUCGCGGAUCAGCAUGCCGCGGUGAAUACGUUCCCGGGCCUUGUACACACCGCCCGUCACACCAUGAGAGUUUGUAACACCCAAAGUCGGUGGGGUAACCUUUUAGGAACCAGCCGCCUAAGGUGGGACAGAUGAUUAGGGUG
RNAcentral lists this ribosomal RNA (1489 nucleotides) under Lactiplantibacillus plantarum. RNAcentral's name for it is "bacterial SSU rRNA". It matches the Rfam family "Bacterial small subunit ribosomal RNA". Lineage: Bacteria; Bacillati; Bacillota; Bacilli; Lactobacillales; Lactobacillaceae. The record is from RNAcentral.